RNAcentral lists this ribosomal RNA (439 nucleotides) under uncultured bacterium. RNAcentral describes it as "bacterial SSU rRNA". It matches the Rfam family "Bacterial small subunit ribosomal RNA", at positions 954 to 1392 of the family's 1533-position model. The record is from RNAcentral.
GCAUAACGCGAAGAACCUUACCAAGUCUUGACAUCCCUCUGACCGGACAGUAAUGUGUCCUUCCCUUCGGGGCAGAGGAGACAGGUGGUGCAUGGUUGUCGUCAGCUCGUGUCGUGAGAUGUUGGGUUAAGUCCCGCAACGAGCGCAACCCUUAUCCUUAGUUGCCAGCACAUAAUGGUGGGCACUCUAAGGAGACUGCCGAUGAUAAAUCGGAGGAAGGUGGGGAUGACGUCAAAUCAUCAUGCCCCUUAUAUCUUGGGCUACACACGUGCUACAAUGGUCGGUACAACGGGGAGCGAAGGAGUGAUCCGGAGCAAAUCCCAAUAAACCGAUCCCAGUUCGGAUUGUAGGCUGCAACUCGCCUACAUGAAGUCGGAGUUGCUAGUAAUCGCGAAUCAGAACGUCGCGGUGAAUGCGUUCCCGGGUCUUGUACACACCG